CCCUUAGAUGUUCUGGGCAGCACGCGCGCUACAAUGGUCUUCGCAAACGGAUGCAUUCUCGAAGGAGAAUGCCAAUCUUGGAAUCUAUGCCUUGGUCGGGACAGUUGCUUGCAAUUUUUCGACUCGAACCAGGAAUUCCUUGUAAUCGUGAUUCAUCACAUCACGAUGAAUACGUCCCUGCCCUUUGUACACACCGCCCGUCGCUCCUACCGAUCGAAGAGUAGGUGAAUUGUUUUGAUCGAUAAGAUUUGACUAUGGUCAACUCUCGUUGUGAAAUUCUGUGAAUCUGACUGUUUAGAGGAAGGAAAAGUCGUAACA
This 318-nucleotide ribosomal RNA is filed under the name uncultured eukaryote. RNAcentral's name for it is "partial 18S ribosomal RNA". It matches the Rfam family "Eukaryotic small subunit ribosomal RNA", at positions 1470 to 1796 of the family's 1831-position model. The record is from RNAcentral.